RNAcentral lists this transfer RNA (71 nucleotides) under Marmota monax (woodchuck). Its description in RNAcentral is "tRNA.Ala". Lineage: Eukaryota; Metazoa; Chordata; Mammalia; Rodentia; Sciuridae. The record is from RNAcentral.
GGGGUUGUGUCUCAGUGGUAUAGCACUCACCUAGCAUGUGUGGGGCCCUGGGUUCAAUCCUCAGCACCACA